This 1035-nucleotide small RNA is filed under the name Caenorhabditis elegans. Its description in RNAcentral is "Unclassified non-coding RNA ZK1307.11". The record is from RNAcentral. Lineage: Eukaryota; Metazoa; Nematoda; Chromadorea; Rhabditida; Rhabditidae.
GUCAAAUCCUCGAACAACUCAAACUACAGCGUCAACUUGAUCUACGGAAUCUUGAAAGUUUGCGAUGUCAAGGAGUUGGUCAUCACCAGAAAGGUAUCGAAUUUCUGAACAUAAGAACCUAAUUCAUUAACAUUUCAGCCUGGAAAGCCACAAGCCGACAAGUUGAUCAUCCAGUACUGUAUGGUGGAAGAUGAGAACGCGGAUCCAAAACCAUUGUUCGCAAAUGGAGUGCCACCAGGAGAGCUUUCUGGAGAGACAGUCAUCAAGUUGUCUGCUGCCGAAUGAAUAUGACACCAAAGAAAAACAAGAUAUUUUUAAACUGAGCAUUGUAUGUAAAAAUGAAGAUUGGAAUUGUUGUUCUGGGUUUAUUUUUCUUUUCAUUAGUGUUGAUUCUCAGAGGGAAUUGUAAUCUGAAUCUGAAAAGCUUCAAUAUUCUUAAUCAAAAAAUGAGAUUGGCCUUGAAUUUUUUGGCUUCUCCACUGCAGGUUCUUCCGGUCGCCUGAAUUUCCUACGUGAUUCUAUUCGAUCGCGAGAAGAUUCAAGGUGACCAUCGUAAGAUGAAAUUUAACAUAGUUGUCGUAUACAUAGAUAGGUAGUUUUUAUAAUACAUAAGAAGCAGAAACUCUUCUGUUUCUGAAAAAAAAAUUGGGUCGGUCCAACGGAUAGACACUAUCUCGAGAACGAGUUUGGUUAAGAUAUUACUUAACUUUCUGAAAAUUUUAUUAUUUGUUCCUCAAUGCCAUUACUUCACAAAUUAAUAAAAUCACUUUAAUUUUCGUUUUCACAACUUUUCAAAUUUCCACGCGACCUUCCAUAUUCUCAAAAAAAAACAUCAGCUGAUAAAAUCUUAACACGUGUAAAACAGAACGUCCGAAUCAAUCGAUUAGAAUUUGUUCUGAUUUAAAACCAAGUCAAGUGCAGCCGCAAUGGGAGUCGAAAUUUCGUUGGAUCCACCAGUGUGCCCAAUCCAGGCCAAUGGAGGAGUUUCGAAGCACAAGAUGAUCAAUCAUACCGAUCGCCAUAUGGCUUAUAAGG